GAUGAACGCUGGCGGCGUGCCUAAUACAUGCAAGUCGAGCGAACAGAUGAGGAGCUUGCUCCUCUGACGUUAGCGGCGGACGGGUGAGUAACACGUGGAUAACCUACCUAUAAGACUGGGAUAACUUCGGGAAACCGGAGCUAAUACCGGAUAAUAUAUUGAACCGCAUGGUUCGAUAGUGAAAGACGGUUUUGCUGUCACUUAUAGAUGGAUCCGCGCCGCAUUAGCUAGUUGGUAAGGUAACGGCUUACCAAGGCAACGAUGCGUAGCCGACCUGAGAGGGUGAUCGGCCACACUGGAACUGAGACACGGUCCAGACUCCUACGGGAGGCAGCAGUAGGGAAUCUUCCGCAAUGGGCGAAAGCCUGACGGAGCAACGCCGCGUGAGUGAUGAAGGUCUUCGGAUCGUAAAACUCUGUUAUUAGGGAAGAACAAAUGUGUAAGUAACUAUGCACGUCUUGACGGUACCUAAUCAGAAAGCCACGGCUAACUACGUG
This 497-nucleotide ribosomal RNA is filed under the name uncultured bacterium. Its description in RNAcentral is "partial 16S ribosomal RNA". It matches the Rfam family "Bacterial small subunit ribosomal RNA", at positions 28 to 507 of the family's 1533-position model. The record is from RNAcentral.